AUUGAACGCUAGCGGGAUGCCUUACACAUGCAAGUCGAACGGCAGCGCGGACUUCGGUCUGGCGGCGAGUGGCGAACGGGUGAGUAAUGUAUCGGAACGUGCCCAGUAGCGGGGGAUAACUACUCGAAAGAGUAGCUAAUACCGCAUACGCCCUACGGGGGAAAGGGGGGGAUCGCAAGACCUCUCACUAUUGGAGCGGCCGAUAUCGGAUUAGCUAGUUGGUGAGGUAAAGGCUCACCAAGGCGACGAUCCGUAGCUGGUUUGAGAGGACGACCAGCCACACUGGGACUGAGACACGGCCCAGACUCCUACGGGAGGCAGCAGUGGGGAAUUUUGGACAAUGGGGGCAACCCUGAUCCAGCCAUUCCGCGUGUGCGAUGAAGACCUUCGGGUUGUAAAGCACUUUUGGCAGGAAAGAAAUCGCACGGAUUAAUACUCUGUGUGGAUGACGGUACCUGCAGAAUAAGCACCGGCUAACUACGUGCCAGCAGCCGCCGCAG
This 500-nucleotide ribosomal RNA is filed under the name uncultured bacterium. RNAcentral describes it as "partial 16S ribosomal RNA". It matches the Rfam family "Bacterial small subunit ribosomal RNA", at positions 30 to 523 of the family's 1533-position model. The record is from RNAcentral.